CCCGCGAAGCCCCGGGGGGACAGAGCAGGGAGGGGGGCCGGGUUUCAAGUCAGGAAGAAAGUGGCUCCCCCACCCCUCCCCGCUCCACCUCCCUCCUCCCCGCCCGCCUCCCUUCUUCCUUACCUCUCCCGAUCCUCCUCCUCCUCCCCCAGCCCCGCUCCAGCCGGCCCCGCCGGCCCCUCACGCCAUGGCGGCGGCAGCGGGGGCGCUCGGCGGGGACGGGGACGGGGAUCCGGGACGGGGAUCCGGGACGGGGAUCCGAGAUGGGGAUCCGGGACGGGGAUUUGGGACGGGGAUCCGGGAUGGGGAUCUGGGACGGGGAUCGCGCCGGGCACCGCGCUGCCCGCCGCCGCCGCGGCUCCGAGCGAGGCACGCAGCCUGGAAGCCCGGGACCUUUUAUAAUUCCCAGUUUAUCAAUCUGCUCUUUUAAACACAGUGUGGCUGUUUAUAUAAAAUGUUCCCCGCGCAAAAGACAAAAUCGUGAAACACCGUUGUCAUUUGAGCCAGGUCAUCCUGACAUCUUUUACAGCCAUUCGAUUGAAGAUACUAAGGAGGACAUGAAGAAGGAGCAAGCCCCAUUGCUGUGAUCAGGCAGUGAGAAAGAAACACAGGGGGCAAUAUGAUGACAGYGAUGUAGGGCUCAUCCUUUCCAAAAGUGACAAGAAAUGUCUGCCAACACUUGGUACGUACUUUUAAAGCCUCUGAUUCUCAGUUAGUUGUGAAAAUGUGGGGAUUUUUCCUUUUUCUUUCUUUGUGACUGAGGAUAUUUGCCUAAAGAGGGAAGCUUUCAGUCUGUUUCACACACGCAACCUUGACCAUUCUUGCCUUCCUGGCUGCCCAGCCUAAGCAACAGCACCUUUUUUUCUCCUUUUAUUUUUCUCUGGGUUUUUCUCAAGUACCUCCCUAUGACUGAAGUCCUGUUCUCUGUGCAAUCUGCUCAGUCUCUAGUUUCUAUGUAAGAGACACUUUCACUUUUAUCAUGAAGUUCCAAAACUCUUCAAAUGAAAAAAUAGAAAAGUCUCCAGCUUCUUUCACUAAUUCUCCAAAAUAAUUGUUUUCCUUAGGACUGUAAACCUUGUGUUUCCUUUGUCCAUCAUGUYCAGCUGUGAUGAUAUUUGAUUACGUCUUAGCAUUGUGGGCUGAAACCUUUAAGACAAGAGCAUUAGGCCAGUCUCUUCUUGUACUACGAUUGCAUAUCUGGAUAUUUGCGUAAUGCUCACCCUGCCCUGCUUGAUCUGGGCUGCUCUCCCCAGCUGUUCCCCCUGGACUGUGUCAGUGCCACAUGAAGGCAGCUCCAGUUUUCAAAACUUGUCUUAAUUCCAGCCUCAUCUGGGGGAAUUUUGGCCUUCUGCUCUUUUCCAGGGAGGGUGUGGACCAGACAGUGUCCUAACUUGUUGUUACUACUGUGUCCUCUGAGUUUAUGAGCGUGUUGCAUGAUUCAUACCAUUUACUACUUAGRGAUUUUGGGCCCUGGCUCACUCUGCAGGCAGUGGGCAGAAAUAGUCACAAUUCCAAAAUUAGGUACCUUUAAGGAGUGGCCUGAAAUUAACCCUGAGUAUCAGAACGGGUUAGAAAUCGGGGAAUCUUUUGUGGUGCAAAGCCAUUUCCCUCACAAAGAGAAAAACUAGUCUGCCAGUUUCCUAUGGGUCUGUCAGGUGCAAGGUACAUCCAUGGGACUGGAAGAAGGCUUAACUCCAACAGAUGUUCUGUCAUUCCUCUGUCUUCUGCUACACAUACGCGUACUGAAAAUGCUGCUCUUUACCGCAGAUGUAGUCUUUUACUCCUCCACAUUGUGGCAGCCAAAGCAGCAGUAGGGUAGCUGGAAGGGGAAAACACUAGAUGUGUUUCCUAAACAGCUCUUCUUUAUAUGUAAAUGGAACAUCUUUCUCUGCUUUACAUUUCCUUUCUUUCUCUCUUCCUUGCACGCACCAUGUGUUUAGCCUGGUUUAGCCUGAGGCCAGCAGACAGAAAGUCAGAUGAGAAAAAAAAUUCCCGCAGAUUUCUGAGUGAAUGGGAAACUGCAGCAUCAGUAACCUCAGCAAGGGGAAGUAAAACACUGGUGAGGGAAGACAGAUUCAUGGUCUUGAAUAUUUCAGGAGGAGAGCAAUCAUAAAGCAGGUACAUAGGUGCUCACUGCCCUAGACCCAAUAAAAAAUUACAUAUAUCAUCUAGUCUAUGCCUA
Dromaius novaehollandiae (emu) is the source of this 2182-nucleotide long non-coding RNA. Lineage: Eukaryota; Metazoa; Chordata; Aves; Casuariiformes; Dromaiidae. The record is from Ensembl.